CAACUUUCAGCAACGGAUCUCUUGGCUCUCGCAUCGAUGAAGAACGCAGCGAAAUGCGAUAAGUAAUGUGAAUUGCAGAUUUUCAGUGAAUCAUCGAAUCUUUGAACGCACCUUGCGCUCCUUGGUAUUCCGAGGAGCAUGCCUGUUUGAGUGUCAUUA
RNAcentral lists this ribosomal RNA (159 nucleotides) under uncultured Piloderma. Its description in RNAcentral is "5.8S ribosomal RNA". It matches the Rfam family "5.8S ribosomal RNA". From Rfam's summary of the family: 5.8S ribosomal RNA (5.8S rRNA) is a component of the large subunit of the eukaryotic ribosome. It is transcribed by RNA polymerase I as part of the 45S precursor that also contains 18S and 28S rRNA. Functionally, it is thought that 5.8S rRNA may be involved in ribosome translocation. Lineage: Eukaryota; Fungi; Basidiomycota; Agaricomycetes; Atheliales; Atheliaceae. The record is from RNAcentral.